CACACGACUCUCGGCAACGGAUAUCUCGGCUCACGCAUCGAUGAAGAACGUAGCAAAAUGCGAUACUUGGUGUGAAUUGCAGAAUCCCGUGAACCAUCGAGUUUUUGAACGCAAGUUGCGCCCGAAGCCUUUUGGCCGAGGGCACGUCUGCCUGGGCGUCACGC
This 164-nucleotide ribosomal RNA is filed under the name Ursinia nana. RNAcentral describes it as "5.8S ribosomal RNA". It matches the Rfam family "5.8S ribosomal RNA". Rfam says of the family: 5.8S ribosomal RNA (5.8S rRNA) is a component of the large subunit of the eukaryotic ribosome. It is transcribed by RNA polymerase I as part of the 45S precursor that also contains 18S and 28S rRNA. The record is from RNAcentral. Lineage: Eukaryota; Viridiplantae; Streptophyta; Magnoliopsida; Asterales; Asteraceae.